ACGGAGGGGGCUAGCGUUGUUCGGAAUUACUGGGCGUAAAGGGCACGUAGGCGGCGCAGCAAGUUAGAUGUGAAAGACCUGGGCUCAACCGAGGAAUUGCAUUUAAUACUGCUGUGCUAGAGUCCGAGAGAGGUGAGUGGAAUUCCCAGUGUAGAGGUGAAAUUCGUAGAUAUUGGGAAGAACACCAGUGGCGAAGGCGGCUCACUGGCUCGGUACUGACGCUGAGGUGCGAAAGCGUGGGGAGCAAACAGG
Molecule: ribosomal RNA, 252 nt
Filed under: uncultured bacterium
Lineage: Bacteria
Description: partial 16S ribosomal RNA
Rfam family: Bacterial small subunit ribosomal RNA
Source: RNAcentral